RNAcentral lists this ribosomal RNA (491 nucleotides) under uncultured bacterium. RNAcentral describes it as "partial 16S ribosomal RNA". It matches the Rfam family "Bacterial small subunit ribosomal RNA", at positions 29 to 506 of the family's 1533-position model. The record is from RNAcentral.
AGUGAACGCUGGCGGUAGGCCUAACACAUGCAAGUCGAACGGCAGCACAGUAAGAGCUUGCUCUUACGGGUGGCGAGUGGCGGACGGGUGAGGAAUACAUCGGAAUCUACUUUUUCGUGGGGGAUAACGUAGGGAAACUUACGCUAAUACCGCAUACGACCUACGGGUGGAAGCAGGGGAUCUUCGGACCUUGCGCGAUUGAAUGAGCCGAUGUCGGAUUAGCUAGUUGGCGGGGUAAAGGCCCACCAAGGCGACGAUCCGUAGCUGGUCUGAGAGGAUGAUCAGCCACACUGGAACUGAGACACGGUCCAGACUCCUACGGGAGGCAGCAGUGGGGAAUAUUGGACAAUGGGCGCAAGCCUGAUCCAGCCAUACCGCGUGGGUGAAGAAGGCCUUCGGGUUGUAAAGCCCUUUUGUUGGGAAAGAAAAGCAGCAGGUUAAUACCCCGCUGUUCUGACGGUACCCAAAGAAUAAGCACCGGCUAACUGCGU